RNAcentral lists this long non-coding RNA (389 nucleotides) under Marmota monax (woodchuck). Lineage: Eukaryota; Metazoa; Chordata; Mammalia; Rodentia; Sciuridae. The record is from RNAcentral.
AGGGAGCAAGAAGGAGCUGGAGGUCCCCUGUGCCCUGCAGAGGGAUGUGGGAAGCAGCUGGUAGUGCUGACUGGCAGGAUUGUGAGAGGCACUGAAUGGCUGAGAGCCAGAAGGAUGUCAUCCCAAGCCAGAGAGCAAAGAGGAGUCACAGCCAGAACUCAGCAGGAGCCAUGGUGUCAGGAGCAGCUGAACAAGGCCAAGCUGGAGGUAUCGCGGACAGUCACAGACCUGGGUUAGAGGUAUCACUGACUUCCAGUGACCAAGUGGACAAAAGACAUCACUAUGGAGACAAGAGGUACCAGGGGACAAUCCAUGGACCCAGGUUGUCUUGGAGGGGAACAGGGAGAGUAAUUAGGAAAUCUGAAUGUCUGAGACUUUUUUAAAAAGUG